RNAcentral lists this ribosomal RNA (747 nucleotides) under uncultured bacterium. RNAcentral describes it as "bacterial SSU rRNA". It matches the Rfam family "Bacterial small subunit ribosomal RNA", at positions 28 to 776 of the family's 1533-position model. The record is from RNAcentral.
GAUGAACGCUGGUGGCGUGCCUAACACAUGCAAGUCGAGCGAAGUUUAGAGGAAGUGCUUGCACGGAAUCGAAGACUUAGCGGCGGACGGGUGAGUAACGCGUGAGCAACCUACCUUUCACAGGGGAAUAACAACGGGAAACCGUUGCUAAUACCGCAUGAUAUUAAGAGAAGACAUCUUCUUUUAAUCAAAGGAGCAAUCCGGUGAAAGAUGGGCUCGCGUCCGAUUAGCUAGUUGGUAAGGUAAAGGCUUACCAAGGCAACGAUCGGUAGCCGAACUGAGAGGUUGACCGGCCACAUUGGGACUGAGACACGGCCCAGACUCCUACGGGAGGCAGCAGUGGGGAAUAUUGGGCAAUGGGCGAAAGCCUGACCCAGCAACGCCGCGUGAAGGAUGAAGGCCUUAGGGUUGUAAACUUCUUUGAUCAGGGAAGAAGAAAAUGACGGUACCUGAAGAACAAGCCACGGCUAACUACGUGCCAGCAGCCGCGGUAAUACGUAGGUGGCAAGCGUUAUCCGGAUUUACUGGGUGUAAAGGGCGUGCAGGCGGGUUUGUAAGUCAGAUGUGAAAUCUCCAGGCUUAACUUGGAAACUGCAUCUGAAACUACAAAUCUUGAGUACUGGAGAGGAUAGUGGAAUUCCUAGUGUAGCGGUAAAAUGCGUAGAUAUUAGGAGGAACACCAGUGGCGAAGGCGGCUAUCUGGACAGUAACUGACGCUGAGGCGCGAAAGCGUGGGUAGCAAACAGG